This 21-nucleotide non-coding RNA is filed under the name Sclerotinia trifoliorum. The record is from RNAcentral. Lineage: Eukaryota; Fungi; Ascomycota; Leotiomycetes; Helotiales; Sclerotiniaceae.
CAUUAACUCCUGGUACGGAAC